AGCAGAGUGAUCAUUGCGGAGAGGAGCUACCAGCCUGACACUGGGUGCUAUGUCUGCAUGGCUUGAAAGAUCUUGGAAGAUCAAGGCACAGUGAGCUGUAGAGGCUCUCUUGGCUCACAGUAUGCAUUCAAGGUUGGCGUUGCUGCUAACCAUGCUUGGUGUAAAUUCUCCAGGAGCGAGUCUCUGUCCAAGAAAAGGCAGCUUAUCAUAAAUACUGACUGAACCUGCAGUUCUAGCAAGAAAGUGCUUUCUGGUUAUUCUUCAUCAGCAAGACAUCUACAGACUCUGUUUUCCGCCAUUACGGAUCAGAGGAGGAAGCAGCUGAAAACUAGCAGUGAUGAGUGAAAACAAAAGGGAACAAGAGACACCCUGUGAGGUGGGUGGGGCUGAGAGACUUCAGAGAAGUGUGACUAGCCCAAGGUCACCCAACAGCUGCAUGUGGAGGAGCGGAGACGGGAACCCGGUUCCCAAGUUUACAAGUCUGCCACUCUUAACCACUAAACCACACUGGCUCAGGAAGGAAGGAAGGAAGGAAGGAAGGAAGGAAGGAAGGAAGGAAGGAAGGAGAGAGAUGCCUCAGAAUGAUGUCAAGUCAAUGGUCCAUCCAUAACAAUAUUUUCUUAUCUGUCUGGUUACGCUCUUCCAGAAUCUCAAGUUGAACUGCUUAUUGAAAUCCUUUAAAUAGAGAUAUCAGUAAUUAGAACUGGUAUUUUCU
Long non-coding RNA from Zootoca vivipara (common lizard), 715 nucleotides. RefSeq lists it as uncharacterized. NCBI's taxonomy places the organism in Eukaryota, Metazoa, Chordata, Lepidosauria, Squamata, Lacertidae. The record is from RefSeq and is a predicted model, not a curated record.